CCCUUAGAUGUUCUGGGCCGCACGCGCGUUACAAUGAAUCGUUCAACAGGUUUCUUCCUGAGUCGAAAGGCUUGGGUAAUCCUUUAAAUACGGUUCGUGCUAGGGAUAGAUUUUUGCAAUUAUUAAUCUUGAACGAGGAAUAUUUAGUAAACGCAGGUCAUCAGCCUGCAUUGAUUACGUCCCUGCCCUUUGUACACACCGCCCGUCGCUCCUACCGAUUGAGUGGUCCGGUGAGGCUUUGGGAUCUGAGCGGAAAGAGCGUUUCGCUGUUUCUGCUCGGAAAACUCAGUCGAACCUUAUCAUUUAGAGGAAGGAGAAGUCGUAACA
RNAcentral lists this ribosomal RNA (327 nucleotides) under uncultured eukaryote. Its description in RNAcentral is "partial 18S ribosomal RNA". It matches the Rfam family "Eukaryotic small subunit ribosomal RNA", at positions 1470 to 1796 of the family's 1831-position model. The record is from RNAcentral.